RNAcentral lists this ribosomal RNA (497 nucleotides) under uncultured bacterium. RNAcentral's name for it is "partial 16S ribosomal RNA". It matches the Rfam family "Bacterial small subunit ribosomal RNA", at positions 28 to 507 of the family's 1533-position model. The record is from RNAcentral.
GACGAACGCUGGCGGCGUGCCUAAUACAUGCCAGUUGAGCGAUGAAGAUUGGUGCUUGCACCAAUUUGAAGAGCAGCGAACGGGUGAGUAACGCGUGGGGAAUCUGCCUUUGAGCGGGGGACAACAUUUGGAAACGAAUGCUAAUACCGCAUAACAACUUUAAACAUAAGUUUUAAGUUUGAAAGAUGCAAUUGCAUCACUCAAAGAUGAUCCCGCGUUGUAUUAGCUAGUUGGUGAGGUAAAGGCUCACCAAGGCGAUGAUACAUAGCCGACCUGAGAGGGUGAUCGGCCACAUUGGGACUGAGACACGGCCCAAACUCCUACGGGAGGCAGCAGUAGGGAAUCUUCGGCAAUGGACGAAAGUCUGACCGAGCAACGCCGCGGGAGUGAAGAAGGGUUUCGGAUCGGAAAACUCUGUUGGUAGAGAAGAACGUUGGUGAGAGUGGAAAGCUCAUCAAGUGACGGUAACUACCCAGAAAGGGACGGCUAACUACGUG